AAAAGUCUUAGUGCGUUUUAAG
Molecule: microRNA, 22 nt
Filed under: Monodelphis domestica (gray short-tailed opossum)
Lineage: Eukaryota; Metazoa; Chordata; Mammalia; Didelphimorphia; Didelphidae
Description: mdo-miR-7262j-5p
Source: miRBase by way of RNAcentral